GUGUCAGCCGCCGCGGUAAUACAGAGGGGGCAAGCGUUGUUCGGAAUUACUGGGCGUAAAGGGCGCGUAGGCGGCCCGUUAAGUCGAACGUGAAAUCCCCAGGCUCAACCUGGGAACUGCGUCCGAUACUGGCGGGCUUGAAUCCGGGAGAGGGAUGCGGAAUUCCAGGUGUAGCGGUGAAAUGCGUAGAUAUCUGGAGGAACACCGGUGGCGAAGGCGGCAUCCUGGACCGGCAUUGACGCUGAGGCGCGAAAGCCAGGGGAGCAAACGGGAUUAGAUACCCUCGUAGUCC
RNAcentral lists this ribosomal RNA (292 nucleotides) under uncultured bacterium. RNAcentral's name for it is "partial 16S ribosomal RNA". It matches the Rfam family "Bacterial small subunit ribosomal RNA", at positions 505 to 796 of the family's 1533-position model. The record is from RNAcentral.